GACGAACGCUGGCGGCGUGCUUAACACAUGCAAGUCGAACGGAAAGGCUCUGCCUUUGUGGGGUGCUCGAGUGGCGAACGGGUGAGUAACACGUGAGUAACCUGCCCUUGACUUUGGGAUAACUUCAGGAAACUGGGGCUAAUACCGGAUAGGAGCUCCUGCUGCAUGGUGGGGGUUGGAAAGUUUCGGCGGUUGGGGAUGGACUCGCGGCUUAUCAGCUUGUUGGUGGGGUAGUGGCUUACCAAGGCUUUGACGGGUAGCCGGCCUGAGAGGGUGACCGGCCACAUUGGGACUGAGAUACGGCCCAGACUCCUACGGGAGGCAGCAGUGGGGAAUAUUGCACAAUGGGCGGAAGCCUGAUGCAGCAACGCCGCGUGCGGGAUGACGGCCUUCGGGUUGUAAACCGCUUUCGCCUGUGACGAAGCGUGAGUGACGGUAAUGGGUAAAGAAGCACCGGCUAACUACGUG
This 468-nucleotide ribosomal RNA is filed under the name uncultured bacterium. RNAcentral describes it as "partial 16S ribosomal RNA". It matches the Rfam family "Bacterial small subunit ribosomal RNA", at positions 28 to 507 of the family's 1533-position model. The record is from RNAcentral.